Molecule: long non-coding RNA, 878 nt
Filed under: Felis catus (domestic cat)
Lineage: Eukaryota; Metazoa; Chordata; Mammalia; Carnivora; Felidae
Description: lncRNA (ENSFCAG00000050934.1)
Source: RNAcentral
UGGAAGAGCAUGUGACUCUUGAUCUCAGGGUCAUUGAGUUCAAGCCUCAUUUUCUUAAAAAAAAGUUUAUGUUGUAAAAGUAUAUAUAUAUAUAUAUAUAUAUAUAUUUUUUUUUUUUUUUUUUUUUUUUUUUUUUUUAAUGACUAGUGGUGUUCAGAGUGAGGAGUGAAAGCUCUCUAUGUAAUCUUACCCUUCAGAGAUAAUCCCUUGUUUUCAAGACGUGGACACUACUGUUGGGAGAAGUGAAACCAAUGAUUCUGUGGCAGAGCAAGGACAGGGGUCCGUGAUCCCUCUGUCCAAUGCUCUUUCCACCUACUCCUCUUCGAAGGAUGCCUCUACCAGCACCCCAGGUCCUCAGAAACUUUUUGAUGCCAUCGAUAAGGAGGUGACUGACUCAUUCCUCACGCAUCAGUAAAGGUGAUCGCACACUUUUCUGGAAGCCUGAAGCCAUGCCUCCAAACUCGAUUCUUCCGGAUUGUAGGAAACACACCCCGUGGCUGAUUCGUCCUCCACUCCUCUGGCUUUGCAUCCAUCAGUCUUUCUUCACAAGGCUUCACUUUUCAGAACCAGGUUCCCGGAGGUUAUAGAUUCGCAACAAAGAAAGCAGAACUGAGCAUUCUCGAGUUCCUGAUGUUAUUUGAACUAACAACGACAGCCACAGAAACCCUACCGUUUGCCCAAAGUAGCAUCCAAAUGACAGAGACUAACAGAAUAUUGAUUCUGCUUCACAAGAAGGAGGUGAAAGGCACCAAAAGCAGAAGUGUUUGCUAGUGUUCAUUGCUUGCCACUUACCGUGGCAAAUAUUGGACGAUAGAAAACUUGCCUCCACUCUCUGCACCUCAGUUUAUUCAUCUGUGAAGUGGACGUAACAGUAGCAU